RNAcentral lists this ribosomal RNA (503 nucleotides) under uncultured bacterium. Its description in RNAcentral is "partial 16S ribosomal RNA". It matches the Rfam family "Bacterial small subunit ribosomal RNA", at positions 30 to 523 of the family's 1533-position model. The record is from RNAcentral.
AUUGAACGCUGGCGGCAGGCUUAACACAUGCAAGUCGAGCGGGGUGAUGGUGCUUGCACUAUCACUUAGCGGCGGACGGGUGAGUAAUGCUUAGGAAUCUGCCUAUUAGUGGGGGACAACAUCUCGAAAGGGAUGCUAAUACCGCAUACGUCCUACGGGAGAAAGCAGGGGAUCACUUGUGACCUUGCGCUAAUAGAUGAGCCUAAGUCGGAUUAGCUAGUUGGUGGGGUAAAGGCCUACCAAGGCGACGAUCUGUAGCGGGUCUGAGAGGAUGAUCCGCCACACUGGGACUGAGACGCGGCCCAGACUCCUACGGGAGGCAGCAGUGGGGAAUAUUGGACAAUGGGGGGAACCCUGAUCCAGCCAUGCCGCGUGUGUGAAGAAGGCCUUAUGGUUGUAAAGCACUUUAAGCGAGGAGGAGGCUCUUUUGGUUAAUACCCAAGAUGAGUGGACGUUACUCGCAGAGUAAGCACCGGCUAACUCUGUGCCAGCCGCCGCGGUAA